RNAcentral lists this RNase P RNA (344 nucleotides) under uncultured Ignatzschineria sp. RNAcentral's name for it is "Bacterial RNase P class A". It matches the Rfam family "Bacterial RNase P class A". Rfam says of the family: Ribonuclease P (RNase P) is a ubiquitous endoribonuclease, found in archaea, bacteria and eukarya as well as chloroplasts and mitochondria. Its best characterised activity is the generation of mature 5'-ends of tRNAs by cleaving the 5'-leader elements of precursor-tRNAs. The record is from RNAcentral. Lineage: Bacteria; Pseudomonadati; Pseudomonadota; Gammaproteobacteria; Cardiobacteriales; Ignatzschineriaceae.
AGUUAGCCAGAUGAUCGCUAGUAUUUAUAUUAGAGGAAAGUCCGGGCUCCACGGAUCAAGGUGCUAGAUAACGUCUAGAAGGCGCGAGCUUAUGGACAGUGCUGAAGAAAUUAAACCGCCUAAAGAUCGUAAGAUCUCGGUAAGGGUGAGAAGGUGCGGUAAGAGCGCACCGUACGAGAGGUGACUUUUCGUAGCUGAGGUAAACCCCACCUGGAGCAAGACCAAAUAGGAGUACAUUAGACGUGAUCCGCGUUGUACUCGGGUAGGUCGCUUGAGACUAGGAGUGAUCCUAGUCCUAGAUGAAUGAUUAUCCACGACAGAACCCGGCUUACCGGCUAACUCAU